CAAUAGCGUAUAUUAAAGUUGUUGCAGUUAAAAAGCUCGUAGUUGGAUUUCUGGAUGGAGCGACCGGUCGGGCAUUAAUUUGUCUGCACUGGAGUCGGUUCCGUCCAUCCUCUUGGAAAGUGCGUCGGGCAUUAAGUUGUUUGGCGUAUGAUCCAAGUCGUUUACUGUGAAAAAAUUAGAGUGUUUAAAGCAGGCCUUCGCCUUGAAUACAUUAGCUUGGAAUAAUAAGAUAGGACUUUGGUCUAUUUUGUUGGUUUGCAGACCGAAGUAAUGAUUAAUAGGGAUAGUUGGGGGUAUUUAUAUUCCGAUGUCAGAGGUGAAAUUCUUAGAUUUUCGGAAGAUAAACUUAUGCGAAAGCAUUUACCAAGGAUGUUUUCAUUAA
Molecule: ribosomal RNA, 382 nt
Filed under: uncultured eukaryote
Lineage: Eukaryota
Description: partial 18S ribosomal RNA
Rfam family: Eukaryotic small subunit ribosomal RNA
Source: RNAcentral